GACGAACGCUGGCGGCGUGCCUAAUACAUGCAAGUAGAACGCACAGUUUAUACCGUAGCUUGCUACACCAUAGACUGUGAGUUGCGAACGGGAGAGUAACGCGUAGGUAACCUGCCUGGUAGCGGGGGAUAACUAUUGAGAACGAUAGCUAAUACCGCAUAAUAUUCAUUAUUGCAUGAUAAUUAAUUGAAAGGUGCAAUUGCACCACUACCAGAUGGACCUGCGUUGUAUUAGCUAGUAGGUGAGGUAACGGCUCACCUAGGCGACGAUACAUAGGCGAACGGGGAGGGUGAUCGGCCACACUGGGACUGAGACACGGCCCAGACUCCUACGGGAGGGAGCAGUAGGGAAUCUUCGGCAAGGGAGGAAAGUCUUACCGAGAAACGCCGCGUGAGUGAAGAAGGUUGUCGGAUCGGAAAGCUCUGUUGUAAGAGAAGAACGGGUGUGAGAGUGGAAAGUUCACACUGUGACGGUAUCUUACCAGAAAGGGACGGCUAACUACGUG
Molecule: ribosomal RNA, 505 nt
Filed under: uncultured bacterium
Lineage: Bacteria
Description: partial 16S ribosomal RNA
Rfam family: Bacterial small subunit ribosomal RNA
Source: RNAcentral